RNAcentral lists this ribosomal RNA (253 nucleotides) under uncultured bacterium. RNAcentral's name for it is "partial 16S ribosomal RNA". It matches the Rfam family "Bacterial small subunit ribosomal RNA", at positions 524 to 776 of the family's 1533-position model. The record is from RNAcentral.
GACGAGGGGUCCUAGCGUUGUUCGGAAUCACUGGGCGUAAAGAGUUCGUAGGCGGCUCCGUAAGUCGGGUGUGAAAUCCCACGGCUCAACCGUGGAAGUGCAUUCGAAACUGCGGAGCUUGAAUAUGGAAGAGGGUAGUAGAAUUCCUGGUGUAGUGGUGAAAUACGUAGAUAUCAGGAGGAAUACCGGUGGCGAAGGCGGCUACCUGGUCCAAUAUUGACGCUGAGGAACGAAAGUGCGGGGAUCAAACAGG